GCAUCAAUGGUUUAAUGGUCAGAAUUGGUCGUUGCCAUCGACUAGAUCCCGGUUCGAUUCCGGGUUGAUGCA
This 72-nucleotide transfer RNA is filed under the name Exophiala oligosperma. RNAcentral describes it as "tRNA-Gly (GCC) (tRNA-Gly-GCC-1-1)". It matches the Rfam family "tRNA". Rfam says of the family: Transfer RNA (tRNA) molecules are approximately 80 nucleotides in length. Their secondary structure includes four short double-helical elements and three loops (D, anti-codon, and T loops). Lineage: Eukaryota; Fungi; Ascomycota; Eurotiomycetes; Chaetothyriales; Herpotrichiellaceae. The record is from RNAcentral.